Non-coding RNA from Pelobates cultripes (western spadefoot toad), 240 nucleotides. Lineage: Eukaryota; Metazoa; Chordata; Amphibia; Anura; Pelobatidae. The record is from the annotation of a GenBank genome assembly.
CUGAACAGCUGUCUGUGGUAGGGUCGUGUAUAUCCUGUGGACCAAUAGUCUGUGGGUCGGGGCCCGUAGCUUGUAAAGGCUGCUCUACUGGUAGCUCGGCCCCUGGAGCGACCAGCUCUCCCAGAAAAACGAUGAGUAUGGGAGCGAAAAACCCUACGUAGGGAGGACUGGGCUUUAUUGAGUGUGGUAAAGACCGAGACAUGCUUGGAGAGGUCUCGCAAUAAACUGUUACCGAACAGU